Molecule: ribosomal RNA, 253 nt
Filed under: uncultured bacterium
Lineage: Bacteria
Description: partial 16S ribosomal RNA
Rfam family: Bacterial small subunit ribosomal RNA
Source: RNAcentral
UACGGAGGGGGCUAGCGUUCUUCGGAAUUACUGGGCGUAAAGGGCGCGUAGGCGGGUUGCUAAGUUAGAGGUGAAAGCCCAGGGCUCAACCCUGGAAUUGCCUUUAAUACUGGCAGCCUUGAGUAUGGCAGAGGUGUGUGGAACUCCGAGUGUAGAGGUGAAAUUCGUAGAUAUUCGGAAGAACACCAGUGGCGAAGGCGGCUCACUGGCCCGGUACUGACGCUGAGGUGCGAAAGCGUGGGGAGCAAACAGG